UAUAUAUACGCUUGCACUCUCUUCUCAAACCUCCAAGCAAUACCUCUCAUAGCUAGAAGCCCUUAUAAUUAGCCCAUCGCAAGCAAGAGCCUAGCUAUCUACUACCUCGCCUUCCCUUCAAUGGCUUCGCUUAAUGCAUCUUCAACGGCACCGGCAUCGGCACCGGCUUGCACUGGCACCAAAACAGUCACCGGCGGUGACUUCAGCAGCACCCACUUCGGCAACACCACCGCCGGCAACGUCACCAACAGCGAUGCGAUCCGUCCAUAGUUGGUUAAGCUUCCAUUAUCAAUAAUAUUGCCUGUAAUCAAAUAUAGGCCGUGUUAAGAAGGUUGUAUUAUCUACAAUAAGGCCAAUUAUCAAAUAUGGUGUGUUGUAAGGCCAAGAAUCAGAUUUGUUGUAUUAUUUGGAACAUAUAUUGAAGCUUGUAUUACCGAUAAUAAUUAAGGGCAAUAAGUUGUGCUA
Molecule: long non-coding RNA, 465 nt
Organism: Corylus avellana
Lineage: Eukaryota; Viridiplantae; Streptophyta; Magnoliopsida; Fagales; Betulaceae
Source: RefSeq, a predicted model, not a curated record